UUUUACUGUGUGCCGUGUGUUGGUGCUGUCCCGCUCUCUCUCACGGACAACUUGAAAACAGGGCGCACAGUGAAAGUCUUAGUGUGGAGGUAGUUGAUAAGUGGAAUGGAUGUAUGUCCCCUCAUUAUGUCACCGAAAUUCUUUUUAGCUUAUCAAAAACCAUUUAUAUGUGUUGUCUGCUGUAAGAGUCGGUGCACUAUCCAACGCCUCCCGCAACAUUAAAAAGAAUUUCGCUACGAAUUAUUCAUCAAGAAUCGCCUUCCCGAUGGCGGCUUUAGCAUUCAAUAAACUGCUAGAUCUCGAAAUAGACUUCCACCGCGAUAUGCAACGGAAUCUAUAGAUCGAAGGGCCAAUCGUUAUGAUCCAUCGUAAGUCGUCAGCGUGAGUAAUAGCCAGGAAUGACCAUGAUGAAGGAAACAUUCGACAACGCGAGCAGAAGUCAUAUUCAACAGAACGAAUGACAAGACAUCUGCACAUAACACUCGUGACGGUAAAAGUGGAUCAAAAGUGAGCAAGAAAACCGUGUGUUGACUACUACAGGUCAACGUUUAUCACAAUCUUCCGAUGCCAUCUUUCCGCAAAACCAAAUGAGUGUUGUGAGCACGUCCCGGUCGACCAGAUUCAGCAAUCAUUCGAUGGUGCUAUUGAAACACAACGAUCGGAGAAGGUACCUGUUUGAUAUAUACUGCAGCUUUAUUCGAGUUCAGUAGUUAAGUAGAGAUGCCCAAAAAUAACUGGGAUCAAAAUAGUGAAUAUUUAUUUUCGAGUUAAAUUAAUAGCUGUAUGUUUUAACACGUCAUGAAAAUUUGGAACUCGAUAAGUAUUUGCAUGUAGUGGAGUGUGUAUUGAAAAUUUAAAAUUGUUAAUUGUAAAACUUCAUCUCAUGCGAAGUGUUACGGGGGGGAGUGUAACGCAAAGAAGCGUACUUUAAAUUUUAAAACACUUGAUUUUCUUUGAACAUCCCUAGAAACAUAUUCUAUCCAGCUAUAGCUAUAGACAAGAUGACAUGCAAGAAGAAAUAUAAUAGUAAUCUUAGUGUGGAGGUAGUUGAUAAGUGGAAUGGAUGUAUGUCCCCUCAAUAUGUCACCGAAAUUGUGAGUAGACUCUGUGUAAAGAUCAAUUAUGCUAAUAAACAUGUUUUAGCUUUUUAGCUUAUCAAAAACCA
Molecule: long non-coding RNA, 1165 nt
Organism: Aedes aegypti (yellow fever mosquito)
Lineage: Eukaryota; Metazoa; Arthropoda; Insecta; Diptera; Culicidae
Exons: 2
Source: RefSeq, a predicted model, not a curated record